Molecule: non-coding RNA, 393 nt
Organism: Pimephales promelas (fathead minnow)
Lineage: Eukaryota; Metazoa; Chordata; Actinopteri; Cypriniformes; Leuciscidae
Source: RefSeq, a predicted model, not a curated record
CCUGUAUAGAGGAAUGAAGCAAGGUAUUACAAGUAGGAACUAAGCUUUUGCCUAUUUAAAGUCAGGUCAUGUCCUCAGAAAGUCACAGUUUCAGCACCCCAAUUUGGUCUGACGGGUAAACGGCAAAUGUGAAAUCAUCAUAGCAAAUGACAUUAAUAUCAAAUAUAGAAUUAAAAUGUAUGCAACUUACCAGUAUUGCAACUAACCAGUCUUCAUUCAUCAGCACUUCUGUCCCCAUUUUCUAGUUUGUCCUUCGAUCUGUAUAAAAGUAAGCGGUCUUCAUUCAUCUGCAUUUUUCAUGUCACCAUUUUCUAGAUUCAGUCCUUCGAUCUGUCUUCAAGAUCUGAACUGCUCAAGUAACCCUCUUUCCUAGUAUAAUCAUUGGACCUGGUG